UACGUAGGGAGCAAGCGUUGUCCGGAUUUACUGGGUGUAAAGGGUGCGUAGGCGGCUUUGCAAGUCAGAAGUGAAAUCCAUGGGCUUAACCCAUGAACUGCUUUUGAAACUGCAGAGCUUGAGUGGAGUAGAGGUAGGCGGAAUUCCCGGUGUAGCGGUGAAAUGCGUAGGGAUCGGGAGGAACACCAGUGGCGAAGGCGGCCUACUGGGCUCUAACUGACGCUGAGGCACGAAAGCGUGGGUAGCAAACAGG
Molecule: ribosomal RNA, 253 nt
Filed under: uncultured bacterium
Lineage: Bacteria
Description: partial 16S ribosomal RNA
Rfam family: Bacterial small subunit ribosomal RNA
Source: RNAcentral